This 344-nucleotide RNase P RNA is filed under the name human gut metagenome. Its description in RNAcentral is "Bacterial RNase P class A". It matches the Rfam family "Bacterial RNase P class A". From Rfam's summary of the family: Ribonuclease P (RNase P) is a ubiquitous endoribonuclease, found in archaea, bacteria and eukarya as well as chloroplasts and mitochondria. Its best characterised activity is the generation of mature 5'-ends of tRNAs by cleaving the 5'-leader elements of precursor-tRNAs. Cellular RNase Ps are ribonucleoproteins. The record is from RNAcentral.
AGCAGGCCGAACGACCGCGGGUACAGGCCGAAAGGCCGUACAUGAGGAAAGUCCGGGCUCCAUAGGGCAAGGAUAACGGGUAACGCCCGCCAGGGGUGACCCUCGGACAAGUGCAACAGAAAUAUACCGCUUCGCGCCCCGCGCGGAGUAAGGGUGGAAAAGUGAGGUAAGAGCUCACUCGCCGCAUGGAGACAUGGCGGCGCUGUAAACUCUAUCCGGAGCAACACCGUGGGAGAACGCAUGGCCGGCCCGGCCGUUCUCAGGAGGUGGCUUGAGUCUGUCAGCAAUGGCAGACGUAGAUAGAUGGUCGUUUAAGACAGAACCCGGCUUACAGACCUGCUCAU